GAAUAUUGGACAAUGGGGGGAACCCUGAUCCAGCCAUGCCGCGUGUGUGAAGAAGGCCUUUUGGGUGUAAAGAACUUUAAGUGAGGAGGAGUCUACUCUGGUUAAUACCUGAAGAUAGUGGACGUUCCUCCGAACAUACGCACCGGCCAACUAUGUGCCCGCAGCCGCGGUAAUACAGAGGGUGCAAGCGUUAAUCGGAUUUACUGGGCGUAAAGCGCGCGUAGGUGGCCAAUUAAGUCAAAUGUGAAAUCCCCGAGCUUAACUUGGGAAUUGCAUUCGAUACUGGUUGGCUAGAGUAUGGGAGAGGAUGGUAGAAUUCCAGGUGUAGCGGUGAAAUGCGUAGAGAUCUGGAGGAAUACCGAUGGCGAAGGCAGCCAUCUGGCCUAAUACUGACACUGAGGUGCGAAAGCAUGGGGAGCAAAC
Molecule: ribosomal RNA, 423 nt
Filed under: uncultured bacterium
Lineage: Bacteria
Description: partial 16S ribosomal RNA
Rfam family: Bacterial small subunit ribosomal RNA
Source: RNAcentral